RNAcentral lists this ribosomal RNA (253 nucleotides) under uncultured bacterium. RNAcentral's name for it is "partial 16S ribosomal RNA". It matches the Rfam family "Bacterial small subunit ribosomal RNA", at positions 524 to 776 of the family's 1533-position model. The record is from RNAcentral.
GACAGAGGGGGCAAGCGUUGCUCGGAAUCACUGGGCGUAAAGGGCGCGUAGGCGGGAUGGCAAGUCGGUCGUGAAAUCCUUCGGCUCAACCGAAGAACGUCGGCCGAUACUGCCGUUCUUGAGGGAUGCAGAGGAGAUUGGAAUUCCCGGUGUAGCGGUGAAAUGUGUAGAGAUCGGGAGGAACACCGGUGGCGAAGGCGGAUCUCUGGGCCUUACCUGACGCUGAGGCGCGAAAGCUAGGGGAGCGAACAGG